Molecule: ribosomal RNA, 2904 nt
Filed under: Escherichia coli
Lineage: Bacteria; Pseudomonadati; Pseudomonadota; Gammaproteobacteria; Enterobacterales; Enterobacteriaceae
Description: bacterial LSU rRNA
Rfam family: Bacterial large subunit ribosomal RNA
Source: RNAcentral
UUAAGCGACUAAGCGUACACGGUGGAUGCCCUGGCAGUCAGAGGCGAUGAAGGACGUGCUAAUCUGCGAUAAGCGUCGGUAAGGUGAUAUGAACCGUUAUAACCGGCGAUUUCCGAAUGGGGAAACCCAGUGUGAUUCGUCACACUAUCAUUAACUGAAUCCAUAGGUUAAUGAGGCGAACCGGGGGAACUGAAACAUCUAAGUACCCCGAGGAAAAGAAAUCAACCGAGAUUCCCCCAGUAGCGGCGAGCGAACGGGGAGGAGCCCAGAGCCUGAAUCAGUGUGUGUGUUAGUGGAAGCGUCUGGAAAGGCGCGCGAUACAGGGUGACAGCCCCGUACACAAAAAUGCACAUAUUGUGAGCUCGAUGAGUAGGGCGGGACACGUGGUAUCCUGUCUGAAUAUGGGGGGACCAUCCUCCAAGGCUAAAUACUCCUGACUGACCGAUAGUGAACCAGUACCGUGAGGGAAAGGCGAAAAGAACCCCGGCGAGGGGAGUGAAAAAGAACCUGAAACCGUGUACGUACAAGCAGUGGGAGCACGCUUAGGCGUGUGACUGCGUACCUUUUGUAUAAUGGGUCAGCGACUUAUAUUCUGUAGCAAGGUUAACCGAAUAGGGGAGCCGAAGGGAAACCGAGUCUUAACUGGGCGUUAAGUUGCAGGGUAUAGACCCGAAACCCGGUGAUCUAGCCAUGGGCAGGUUGAAGGUUGGGUAACACUAACUGGAGGACCGAACCGACUAAUGUUGAAAAAUUAGCGGAUGACUUGUGGCUGGGGGUGAAAGGCCAAUCAAACCGGGAGAUAGCUGGUUCUCCCCGAAAGCUAUUUAGGUAGCGCCUCGUGAAUUCAUCUCCGGGGGUAGAGCACUGUUUCGGCAAGGGGGUCAUCCCGACUUACCAACCCGAUGCAAACUGCGAAUACCGGAGAAUGUUAUCACGGGAGACACACGGCGGGUGCUAACGUCCGUCGUGAAGAGGGAAACAACCCAGACCGCCAGCUAAGGUCCCAAAGUCAUGGUUAAGUGGGAAACGAUGUGGGAAGGCCCAGACAGCCAGGAUGUUGGCUUAGAAGCAGCCAUCAUUUAAAGAAAGCGUAAUAGCUCACUGGUCGAGUCGGCCUGCGCGGAAGAUGUAACGGGGCUAAACCAUGCACCGAAGCUGCGGCAGCGACGCUGAUGCGUUGUUGGGUAGGGGAGCGUUCUGUAAGCCUGCGAAGGUGUGCUGUGAGGCAUGCUGGAGGUAUCAGAAGUGCGAAUGCUGACAUAAGUAACGAUAAAGCGGGUGAAAAGCCCGCUCGCCGGAAGACCAAGGGUUCCUGUCCAACGUUAAUCGGGGCAGGGUGAGUCGACCCCUAAGGCGAGGCCGAAAGGCGUAGUCGAUGGGAAACAGGUUAAUAUUCCUGUACUUGGUGUUACUGCGAAGGGGGGACGGAGAAGGCUAUGUUGGCCGGGCGACGGUUGUCCCGGUUUAAGCGUGUAGGCUGGUUUUCCAGGCAAAUCCGGAAAAUCAAGGCUGAGGCGUGAUGACGAGGCACUACGGUGCUGAAGCAACAAAUGCCCUGCUUCCAGGAAAAGCCUCUAAGCAUCAGGUAACAUCAAAUCGUACCCCAAACCGACACAGGUGGUCAGGUAGAGAAUACCAAGGCGCUUGAGAGAACUCGGGUGAAGGAACUAGGCAAAAUGGUGCCGUAACUUCGGGAGAAGGCACGCUGAUAUGUAGGUGAGGUCCCUCGCGGAUGGAGCUGAAAUCAGUCGAAGAUACCAGCUGGCUGCAACUGUUUAUUAAAAACACAGCACUGUGCAAACACGAAAGUGGACGUAUACGGUGUGACGCCUGCCCGGUGCCGGAAGGUUAAUUGAUGGGGUUAGCCGCAAGGCGAAGCUCUUGAUCGAAGCCCCGGUAAACGGCGGCCGUAACUAUAACGGUCCUAAGGUAGCGAAAUUCCUUGUCGGGUAAGUUCCGACCUGCACGAAUGGCGUAAUGAUGGCCAGGCUGUCUCCACCCGAGACUCAGUGAAAUUGAACUCGCUGUGAAGAUGCAGUGUACCCGCGGCAAGACGGAAAGACCCCGUGAACCUUUACUAUAGCUUGACACUGAACAUUGAGCCUUGAUGUGUAGGAUAGGUGGGAGGCUUUGAAGUGUGGACGCCAGUCUGCAUGGAGCCGACCUUGAAAUACCACCCUUUAAUGUUUGAUGUUCUAACGUUGACCCGUGAUCCGGGUUGCGGACAGUGUCUGGUGGGUAGUUUGACUGGGGCGGUCUCCUCCUAAAGAGUAACGGAGGAGCACGAAGGUUGGCUAAUCCUGGUCGGACAUCAGGAGGUUAGUGCAAUGGCAUAAGCCAGCUUGACUGCGAGCGUGACGGCGCGAGCAGGUGCGAAAGCAGGUCAUAGUGAUCCGGUGGUUCUGAAUGGAAGGGCCAUCGCUCAACGGAUAAAAGGUACUCCGGGGAUAACAGGCUGAUACCGCCCAAGAGUUCAUAUCGACGGCGGUGUUUGGCACCUCGAUGUCGGCUCAUCACAUCCUGGGGCUGAAGUAGGUCCCAAGGGUAUGGCUGUUCGCCAUUUAAAGUGGUACGCGAGCUGGGUUUAGAACGUCGUGAGACAGUUCGGUCCCUAUCUGCCGUGGGCGCUGGAGAACUGAGGGGGGCUGCUCCUAGUACGAGAGGACCGGAGUGGACGCAUCACUGGUGUUCGGGUUGUCAUGCCAAUGGCACUGCCCGGUAGCUAAAUGCGGAAGAGAUAAGUGCUGAAAGCAUCUAAGCACGAAACUUGCCCCGAGAUGAGUUCUCCCUGACUCCUUGAGAGUCCUGAAGGAACGUUGAAGACGACGACGUUGAUAGGCCGGGUGUGUAAGCGCAGCGAUGCGUUGAGCUAACCGGUACUAAUGAACCGUGAGGCUUAACCUU